RNAcentral lists this long non-coding RNA (339 nucleotides) under Monodelphis domestica (gray short-tailed opossum). RNAcentral describes it as "lncRNA (ENSMODG00000039548.1)". The record is from RNAcentral. Lineage: Eukaryota; Metazoa; Chordata; Mammalia; Didelphimorphia; Didelphidae.
AUGUUUUGGCCAUUGUUUUCUUUUGCAAUACAACCAAACAAGACUUCUCACUGUUCCUCACACACAAGAUUCAAUUUCUGCUUUCCAGGACUUUGCAAGGGUUGUUCUCUAUCCAUGGAACAUACUCUCUCUUUAAUUCCUCCACGAAGAUUUCCUAUCUUCUUUCAAGACACAGCAAGAACCAACUUCUAUGUGGAGUCUUUUCUAAUCCCCAAGUUCCAAUUCCCUCCUUCUCAAGAUUCACACAGAAGAAAAUGAAGGAAAACCAAAGGUGAAAAUGAGACCCCCAAAGUGAUCUAGGACAAUCAAUAAAUAUUAUUAAGUGCCUACUAUGUAUCA